Molecule: ribosomal RNA, 490 nt
Filed under: uncultured bacterium
Lineage: Bacteria
Description: partial 16S ribosomal RNA
Rfam family: Bacterial small subunit ribosomal RNA
Source: RNAcentral
AUUGAACGCUGGCGGCAUGCCUUACACAUGCAAGUCGAACGGCAGCAUGAUCUAGCUUGCUAGAUUGAUGGCGAGUGGCGAACGGGUGAGUAAUACAUCGGAACGUGCCCUGUAGUGGGGGAUAACUAGUCGAAAGAUUAGCUAAUACCGCAUACGACCUGAUGGUGAAAGUGGGGGACCGCAAGGCCUCAUGCUAUAGGAGCGGCCGAUGUCUGAUUAGCUAGUUGGUGAGGUAAAGGCUCACCAAGUCGACGAUCAGUAGCUGGUCUGAGAGGACGAUCAGCCACACUGGGACUGAGACACGGCCCAGACUCCUACGGGAGGCAGCAGUGGGGAAUUUUGGACAAUGGGCGAAAGCCUGAUACAGCAAUGCCGCGUGUGUGAAGAAGGCCUUCGGGUUGUAAAGCACUUUUGUCCGGAAAGAAAUGGCUCUGGUUAAUACCUGGGGUCGAUGACGGUACCGGAAGAAUAAGGACCGGCUAGCUACGUG